GGGAGUGAGGUGAAUGUAACAUAACUCUCUCUCCUGAAUAGAAAGGGCUACUUAAAGCUGGAGCUUCCCUCCUGGAAAUUGAUUUUGACUUUGAAGAAGAGCCAGAAGUUCCAUUUUACCAGGCCUGGUAAGGUGAAUGAAAACUCAAGGAGCUCACAGUUAACAGUUUGCUUUCCACCUUGGAGAAGACUUGGGACCAGGACUUUUCAGCAAUGCUGACACUGCUAGGACUUUGGCAACUCCUGGAGAUGGACAAAAUGCCUUUUGCAUAGAGGAUGUACAGGAGUCUUUGGAUGGCCAGGGGCAGAAUGCUACGGUUUGUGUCCAGAUUUUCCCCCCAAAGCCUCCUUCAGUCAUAGAGUCGGGUGUCUAGAGUUUGUGAUUAAUUCAUGGCCCAAUAUUGGGACUAUGGGUGUGAGUGCUACACCCACCAUGGCUUGGGUAGCUGUUAUACAAAUAAGGGAGAGAAAGAGGAUGCUUUCACACACAUCCCUUUUUGCUCUUGUUGCUUUUGCUGUUUUCCACUGAUAUAUAAUCAGGAGUACAGUUCUUUUGGAGAAAUACAAUGAAAUGAGUUAAAAAUAAAAAAGGAACAGUGUAAAAUAAUUUCUUGAUACAGUGUUAAAAAUGAUGAUGGUAGAUACAAAAUAGCUAUUUGGAUACAUUUUAAGAAAUGAUAUAACUAUGUUUUUAAAAAAUCAUUUUAACCCAUAUUUAUGAUGUUUUGCAUUUAGCUGAAAAACUUUUAAACAAUACAAAACUCCUAAGGAUUAAUGUGGCUUUUCAAAAACUUUUAAGGCAUAAGUGAACAAGUAAUUUUGCCUUACAGACCAUCUGGAUGAGCUCUUUUUGGGAACUGAAAAGCCUAUCUAUCAGUAUCUAGACAUCUUUUUCAAGCUCACUGAGUAACCAAAGGAACCAGACCCUGUGCUCCUGCACCCUGCUCUAAGUAGCAGAUCCAAUCCAGGAAGCAUGCAGGAUGGAGUGAGUCCUGAAGGACUGGCAGAAACAACCGAGUCACAAAGCGAGAAAAGAGGAUCUCAGACCAAGAAUGCUCUUCCCCACAUUCAGAGCUUCUGUGUACUUUUGAUGGUCCCUUAAAAACUCUUGAAGCAUAGUAGAGACUCCCACAAACAUACCACUUAUUUUUUACUGUAAAUUUUUACUUUAGUGGAAUAGUAGCUGGCUGUGGUCUCAAUACCUUUCCAUGAGGGAUACAAGAAGCAGUCUUUGCUUUUAUCCACUUGGUACAUUGAAAAACAAGGUGAGUGCACGUGUGCAAAAGUGUCAAAUCAGAAUUUACACUCACAUGAGGUUCCAUCUAACAGAUGUUUACCGGAGUAUCACAGAGGGUAUAAUCAUAUACCACUCUAGGAUUUGUUUUUUUAAAAAGUUUUUCUUUUGAUUUUUCUGGCAUUUACAUUGUAGCUCAUGUAGGUUUUUAUUUCUGGUAUUAUCUCUUAGGUUUUGUAAAUAGGCACACAGCUGACACAAAAAUGUUAAUUUUAAGUACUCAUUAAACAUUUGAUAUUUUAUUGACAUCUUAUUUUCUCAUUAUUUAGGUAUAAUAAUUGAAAUAAAGAUUUUUUAUAGAAUGCUACUGGUAUUUUCAUUGUAGUUCAUAUAGGAAUUUAUUUCUGAUGUUAUCUUUUAAUUUUAUAAGCAAGUACUCAACUGAUGUGAAAAUGUUGAUUUUUAUUUUAAAUGCACAGUACAUAUGAAGAAUUUAAUGCUUUGUCUUAUGGGUAUUUUAUAUUCCUGUUAACCACACAUUGCAUAAUAUAGAACCUCUUGCCAAAACAGCAAGACCAGUCACAUAUCAAGUAUGUCCUACAAAAAUGCCAGGAAACAAAUCAUAUGUGCUGCCAGUACAAGUGAUGUGUGUGUAUGGAACAUGCUGUUGUCAUGUGUGAAGACUGUUAGGUGUGAUAAUUGAAGCAAAGACUAUUUUUGUAGAGUGCUAUUGAUAUUUUCAUUGCAGUUCAUAGAGAGACUUAUUUCUGUUGUUGUGUUUCAGACUUUGUAUACCAAAAAUCAAUGUUGAAAUUUUUGAUCCUUUUUUAUAAACAAUAAAUA
Cavia porcellus (domestic guinea pig) is the source of this 2076-nucleotide long non-coding RNA. RefSeq lists it as uncharacterized. The transcript has 3 exons. Lineage: Eukaryota; Metazoa; Chordata; Mammalia; Rodentia; Caviidae. The record is from RefSeq and is a predicted model, not a curated record.